Molecule: ribosomal RNA, 1369 nt
Filed under: Enterococcus thailandicus
Lineage: Bacteria; Bacillati; Bacillota; Bacilli; Lactobacillales; Enterococcaceae
Description: bacterial SSU rRNA
Rfam family: Bacterial small subunit ribosomal RNA
Source: RNAcentral
UGCUCCACCGAAAGAAAAGGAGUGGCGAACGGGUGAGUAACACGUGGGUAACCUGCCCAUCAGAAGGGGAUAACACUUGGAAACAGGUGCUAAUACCGUAUAACAAUCGAAACCGCAUGGUUUUGAUUUGAAAGGCGCUUUCGGGUGUCGCUGAUGGAUGGACCCGCGGUGCAUUAGCUAGUUGGUGAGGUAACGGCUCACCAAGGCCACGAUGCAUAGCCGACCUGAGAGGGUGAUCGGCCACAUUGGGACUGAGACACGGCCCAAACUCCUACGGGAGGCAGCAGUAGGGAAUCUUCGGCAAUGGACGAAAGUCUGACCGAGCAACGCCGCGUGAGUGAAGAAGGUUUUCGGAUCGUAAAACUCUGUUGUUAGAGAAGAACAAGGAUGAGAGUAACUGUUCAUCCCUUGACGGUAUCUAACCAGAAAGCCACGGCUAACUACGUGCCAGCAGCCGCGGUAAUACGUAGGUGGCAAGCGUUGUCCGGAUUUAUUGGGCGUAAAGCGAGCGCAGGCGGUUUCUUAAGUCUGAUGUGAAAGCCCCCGGCUCAACCGGGGAGGGUCAUUGGAAACUGGGAGACUUGAGUGCAGAAGAGGAGAGUGGAAUUCCAUGUGUAGCGGUGAAAUGCGUAGAUAUAUGGAGGAACACCAGUGGCGAAGGCGACUCUCUGGUCUGUAACUGACGCUGAGGCUCGAAAGCGUGGGGAGCAAACAGGAUUAGAUACCCUGGUAGUCCACGCCGUAAACGAUGAGUGCUAAGUGUUGGAGGGUUUCCGCCCUUCAGUGCUGCAGCUAACGCAUUAAGCACUCCGCCUGGGGAGUACGACCGCAAGGUUGAAACUCAAAGGAAUUGACGGGGGCCCGCACAAGCGGUGGAGCAUGUGGUUUAAUUCGAAGCAACGCGAAGAACCUUACCAGGUCUUGACAUCCUUUGACCACUCUAGAGAUAGAGCUUCCCCUUCGGGGGCAAAGUGACAGGUGGUGCAUGGUUGUCGUCAGCUCGUGUCGUGAGAUGUUGGGUUAAGUCCCGCAACGAGCGCAACCCUUAUUGUUAGUUGCCAUCAUUUAGUUGGGCACUCUAGCAAGACUGCCGGUGACAAACCGGAGGAAGGUGGGGAUGACGUCAAAUCAUCAUGCCCCUUAUGACCUGGGCUACACACGUGCUACAAUGGGAAGUACAACGAGUCGCGAAGUCGCGAGGCUAAGCUAAUCUCUUAAAGCUUCUCUCAGUUCGGAUUGUAGGCUGCAACUCGCCUACAUGAAGCCGGAAUCGCUAGUAAUCGCGGAUCAGCACGCCGCGGUGAAUACGUUCCCGGGCCUUGUACACACCGCCCGUCACACCACGAAAGUUUGUAACACCCGAAGUCGG